RNAcentral lists this long non-coding RNA (2426 nucleotides) under Sus scrofa (pig). RNAcentral's name for it is "lncRNA (ENSSSCG00040053833.1)". Lineage: Eukaryota; Metazoa; Chordata; Mammalia; Artiodactyla; Suidae. The record is from RNAcentral.
CUGGCGUUGCUGUGGCUCUGGUGUAGGCCAGCAACAACAGCUCCAAUUAGACCCCUAGCCUGGGAACCUCUUUAUGCUGCAGGUGCAGCCCUAAAAGAAAAAAAAAAAAAAAAAAAAAAGACAAAAGAAUCUUUAAAUGAAGUCAGUGUCCUAGAAACUUAGCAAAGUGAUGUGAGACAGGAAACAAAAAGAUAUGUCUCUCUCUAUCCUUCGGUAGACAGGGUACACCUCAGCACUUGCGUCCUGAGGCUUCGCAAAUCGAACAGCGACUGUCUGUUUUAGCUAUUAUUUCUGUGUGGGGAAAAUGGAUGACAAGAACAAUGCCUGCCAACUCCUCCUUGCUGCCCCAGUCUCACUGCCCUCCAGCAGAGGCCACCUCUCAGAGUCCUGCACUACUCAAAGUAAGUACACACAUAUUCUUUGUCCCAACAGUCCUUGCUUGGACAUAUGUUCCAGACAUGCUCACCCAGGUCCUGAAGGGGACAUGUACCAGAUAUCCACUGUGGGUUUGUGUGUGGUGCCAGGAAAGAGGGCAAUAAAAUCCCUGUGAAAAUGGAGGUACAAAAUGUGGUGGCAGCCCACCCCUGAGUGCCCGUAGCAGAUGGUAUAAGUUACCAGAUGUACUUUUUGUUUUUCAUUUGUAAUGAAUUUUAUUUUUUUUUCCCAUUAUAGCUGGUUUACAGUGUUCUGUCAAUUUUCUACUGUACAGCCGGGGACCCAGUUACACAUAGAUGUAUAUAUUUCUUUUUUCUCACAUUAUCAUGCUCCAUUAACAAAUUAAUGCCAUUUGCGGCAACACGGAUGGAACUAGAGACUCUCAUACUAAGUGAAGUAAGUCAGAAAGAGAGGAGUUCCCGUCGUGGCGCAGUGGUUAACAAAUCCGACUAGGAACCAUGAGAUUGCGGGUUCGGUCCCUGCCCUUGCUCAGUGGGUUAAGGAUCCGGCAUUGCCGUGAGCUGUGGUGUAGGUUGCAGACGCGGCUCGGAUCCCGCGUUGUUGUGGCUCUGGUGUAGGCCGGUGGCUACAGCUCCGAUUUGACCCCUAGCCUGGGAACCUCCAUACGCCGAGGGAGUGGCCCAAGAAAUGGCAAAAAAAAACAAACAAAAAAAAGCGUCCACACAAAGGAAUACACGUGUAUCAUACACAUAUAAAUGAAAGAUACACAUUACAUAAACUGGACCCAUUACCUAUGUGAGAAGAAACAUAAGAGUGAAAAGACAUGAAUACCUAAAUAAACCAGGACACAAAAAUUGGUACAUGAAUAUUCAGAGCAGAAUGAUUCCUAUUACCCAGGAAGUGGAAACAUCCCAAAUGUCCAUGAACUGAUGAAAUGUGAUAAAAUGUGGCACAGUCCUAUGAUGGGGUAUUAUUUGGUCUUAAACAGGAAAGAAGUACUGAUUCAUGCUACAACAUGAAUGACCUUUGAAAGCAUUAUGCCGAGUUAAAGAAGCCAGCCCCAAAAGAUUAUCAUUCUUAUUGGGUGAUUCCAUUUUUAUGAAAUGUCCAGAAUUCACAAAUGUUUUCGUUUUCUUCAUGGUUUCCUUUGCUGUGCAAGAGCGUUUAAUUUGGUCCCAUUUGUUUAUUUUUUGUUUUUAUUUUCAUUGCUCUAGAAGAUGGAUCCCCAAAGAUAUAGCUGCGAUUUCUGGCACAGAGAGUUCUGCCUAUGUCUUCCUCUAAGAAUUUUAUAGUAUCUGGUCUUACAUGUAGGUCUUCAGUCCAUUUUUAGUUUAUUUUUUCAGAAUACACAAAUCUAGUGGGAGUUCUCUUUAUGGCUCAGUGGGUUAAGAACCGACAUAAUGUCUGGGAGGAUGUGGGUUCAGUUCCUGGCCUUGUCAGUGGGCUAAGCUGCAGUGUAGGUCACAGAUGCUGGCAUGUCUGUGGCUGUGGUGUAGGCUGGCAACUGAAGCUCUGAUUCAACUCCUAGCCUGUGAACUUGCAUAUGUUACAUAUGCUGCAGGUGUGGCCCCAAAAAGAAAAAAAAUAAAAUGGUUGCCUGGCACUGGGGUUGGGGGGGUGGCAGGAGGAAUUGAGGGAAAAUGGGGAGUGACUGCUAAUGGGUAUAAGGUUUCUUUCUGGGGUGAUGAAAAUGUUUUAGGCUUAAAUUGUAUUGAUGGUUAUACAACUCAGCCUGUAUAUUGAAAAUGAUUGUUGUACACUUUAAAUGGGUAAGGGUUAUUUUGGGGGUUUUUUGUUUGUUUUUUUUUAUGGAAUUCCCAAGCCAGAGGUUGAAUCAGAGCCACCAGCUGAGUCCUACACCACAGCCACAGCAACGCCAGAUCCUUAGCCCACUGAGGGAGGCCAGGGAUCAAACCUGUGUCCUCACAGAGGUAAUGUCGAGUCUAACCUGCUGAGCCACAAUGGGAACUCCUAAAUGGGUGAGUUUUAUAUGUGAGUUAUAUCUCAAUAAAGACAUUUAAAAAGAAAAA